Non-coding RNA from Potamilus streckersoni, 77 nucleotides. NCBI's taxonomy places the organism in Eukaryota, Metazoa, Mollusca, Bivalvia, Unionida, Unionidae. The record is from the annotation of a GenBank genome assembly.
AUCUCUCCGGUGACCUAAGUGGUUAGAGAGUUUGCCUCGGAUGCAGGAGGUCGCGGGUUCGAACCCCUGCUGAGAUA